Molecule: ribosomal RNA, 497 nt
Filed under: uncultured bacterium
Lineage: Bacteria
Description: partial 16S ribosomal RNA
Rfam family: Bacterial small subunit ribosomal RNA
Source: RNAcentral
GAUGAACGCUGGCGGCGUGCCUAAUACAUGCAAGUCGAGCGAACAGACGAGGAGCUUGCUCCUCUGACGUUAGCGGCGGACGGGUGAGUAACACGUGGAUAACCUACCUAUAAGACUGGGAUAACUUCGGGAAACCGGAGCUAAUACCGGAUAAUAUAUUGAACCGCAUGGUUCAAUAGUGAAAGACGGUUUUGCUGUCACUUAUAGCUGGUUCCGGGCCGCAUUAGCUAGUUGGUAAGGUAACGGCUUACCAAGGCAACGAUGCGUAGCCGACCUGAGAGGGUGAUCGGCCACACUGGAACUGAGACACGGUCCAGACUCCUACGGGAGGCAGCAGUAGGGAAUCUUCCGCAAUGGGCGAAAGCCUGACGGAGCAACGCCGCGUGAGUGAUGAAGGUCUUCGGAUCGUAAAACUCUGUUAUUAGGGAAGAACAAAUGUGUAAGUAACUAUGCACGUCUUGACGGUACCUAAUCAGAAAGCCACGGCUAACUACGUG